This 492-nucleotide ribosomal RNA is filed under the name uncultured bacterium. RNAcentral's name for it is "partial 16S ribosomal RNA". It matches the Rfam family "Bacterial small subunit ribosomal RNA", at positions 28 to 507 of the family's 1533-position model. The record is from RNAcentral.
GAUGAACGCUAGCUACAGGCUUAACACAUGCAAGUCGAGGGGAAACGACAUCGAAAGCUUGCUUUUGAUGGGCGUCGACCGGCGCACGGGUGAGUAACGCGUAUCCAACCUGCCCAUCACUUGGGAAUAACCUUGCGAAAGUAAGACUAAUACCCAAUGAUAUCCCACGAAGGCAUCGGAAUGGGAUUAAAGAUUUAUCGGUGAUGGAUGGGGAUGCGUCUGAUUAGCUUGUUGGCGGGGUAACGGCCCACCAAGGCAACGAUCAGUAGGGGUUCUGAGAGGAAGGUCCCCCACAUUGGAACUGAGACACGGUCCAAACUCCUACGGGAGGCAGCAGUGAGGAAGAUUGGUCAAUGGGCGAGAGCCUGAACCAGCCAAGUAGCGUGCAGGAUGACGGCCCUAUGGGUGGUAAACUGCUUUUAUAAGGGAAUAAAGUGGGUCUCGUGAGACUUUUUGCAUGUACCUUAUGAAUAAGAACCGGCUAAUUCCGUG